RNAcentral lists this ribosomal RNA (253 nucleotides) under uncultured bacterium. Its description in RNAcentral is "partial 16S ribosomal RNA". It matches the Rfam family "Bacterial small subunit ribosomal RNA", at positions 524 to 776 of the family's 1533-position model. The record is from RNAcentral.
UACGUAGGGUGCAAGCGUUAAUCGGAAUUACUGGGCGUAAAGCGUGCGCAGGCGGUUAUGUAGGACAGGUGGGAAAUCCCCGGGCUUAACCUGGGAACUGCAUUUGUGACUGCAUAGCUAGAGUACGGUAGAGGGGGAUGGAAUUCCGCGUGUAGCAGUGAAAUGCGUAGAUAUGCGGAGGAACACCGAUGGCGAAGGCAAUCCCCUGGACCUGUACUGACGCUCAUGCACGAAAGCGUGGGGAGCAAACAGG